UCAGACAUGGUGUAGUGGUAACACAGCCUUCGGUUUUGAAGGUGGUAGCAAGCAUUGCGGGGCAGUCCUGGGUUCGAAUCCCGGUGUCUGAA
This is a non-coding RNA of Mycena epipterygia, 92 nucleotides long. NCBI's taxonomy places the organism in Eukaryota, Fungi, Basidiomycota, Agaricomycetes, Agaricales, Mycenaceae. The record is from the annotation of a GenBank genome assembly.